UCCGGCUUAUCACCGGCGGUUUCUUUAGAGUGCCCAACUAAAUGAUGGCAACUAAAGACGAGGGUUGCGCUCGUUGCGGGACUUAACCCAACAUCUCACGACACGAGCUGACGACGGCCAUGCAGCACCUCUAUGGCGGCCCCCGAAGGGGAAGGCCUGUUUCCAGACCCGUCCACCACAGUUCAAGCCCAGGUAAGGUUCUUCGCGUUGCAUCGAAUUAAACCACAUACUCCACCGCUUGUGCGGGCCCCCGUCAAUUCCUUUGAGUUUCAACCUUGCGGCCGUACUCCCCAGGCGGAGAACUUAGCGCGUUAGCUUCGACACCGAUUCGCAGAGCAAACCGACGUCAAGUUCUCAUCGUUUACGGCGUGGACUAC
RNAcentral lists this unclassified non-coding RNA (377 nucleotides) under uncultured Gammaproteobacteria bacterium. Its description in RNAcentral is "contains 16S-23S intergenic spacer region". The record is from RNAcentral. Lineage: Bacteria; Pseudomonadati; Pseudomonadota; Gammaproteobacteria.